Long non-coding RNA from Glycine soja, 2075 nucleotides. RefSeq lists it as uncharacterized. The transcript has 7 exons. Lineage: Eukaryota; Viridiplantae; Streptophyta; Magnoliopsida; Fabales; Fabaceae. The record is from RefSeq and is a predicted model, not a curated record.
UCUUAUCAUACAGCUGUUACUCUUUUUCCUUGAUAUUCUCGCUUUCUCUCUCUCGGGUAGCGCACUGGUUGCGCUUCUUCGUUGCGGCACUGAGUGAGGCGGUUCACUCUUGCUGCCUCUUUCUCUUCUCUGUCCCUAGAAACAAACCAUCAUCUUCUCAGAUCUAUACAAAAAGCAAAACCCUAAACACUUCCUUGCCUUGUUUCGGUUCCUCUUCCAAUUUGAUCUCAUCAUCAAUGGCUUUCGCAUGCAGCAGAAUCGCGCAACGAACAUCAAUUUCAUCUAUAAAAUCAGUCAUCAAAUCCAACAUUCGCGCUUCUUCAUUCUCCAAACCAGCUUCCUCCUUUUCUCCUAUUUGCCAAUCCUUAUUGGCCAGGAUUUUGCAGGAGCUGAGAUGCGUGCAGUCGAUGUUGCCGCUGCACAGCACGGUGGCGGCGGCGAGAAUGAUGUCGUGUCUGACUUUCAAAAGUUGUCGAGCGCUUUCACCGGGUACUCUCUGCUGCACCUCUCCUAGCCUCUAAUACUCUCCUUUUCAAAAGUAUUCGCAAACCAUGAGUUGCUUCUCGGCUUGGGUUUAGUUUUUCUAUGGAUUUUCUUUUUUCUCUUCCCGCUUUCGAAUAAGCUUUGUGAAUUGUGAGUGCACUGCUAAAAUUAAGAAGAGAAAACUAAUACACUUAGUCUAUCUAUUUAUUUAAUUAGGACCCAUGCUUUGGUAUUUUUCUUAGGCAACUAGCAGUUUUUCAUUUGAGUUUAAUUGGCGAAUUUGGGAUUUUCAAAAUCAUUUAAAAAGCUUCACUCUAUUUGAUUUUGCUUUCUAAAUUUGUGCACCAUUUAGCCUCUUGAUAAUACUGUUGUGUUAAUUGUCGAUACAAGUAGAAGAUAAUUUCCCAAUCUAUAUCAGAGGUGUUCUGCUGUUUCUCCAACCUCUUGGCUAUCUCAGACUGGUAGAAGCUUUCCUUUAGGUCUUCCUCAUAGUAUGUAUUGAUUAACUGCUUCACCUUCCUCAUAGUAUGUAUUAAAAAGUCUUUUUAACAAAUAAAUUGGUGAUGCACCCUCAGGUCUUGAAGUGAGAGACAAUGCAAUAUCCAUGGAUGCAAUUUCUGCUACUAUCAUAUCUUAUAAUUUUUGGCCUCCAAUAUAGGUUUGCAGACAAGAUUCGUGUGAAAAUAAACUUAGGACUGCUUGUGUAAUUGUUGUUGCAAAUGCUUGUGUUUUACCUACUACUACUACUACUAUUAUUAUUAUUAACAAAAUUUUGACAGAGUUCUUUAAAAAGGAGCCUAGGUGGACUAUGUGUGCAAUUCUCAGCCCAACUUUUAAAGUACGGGAGUUUCAGUGUAUGAGAAUGAUGGGUCUAGAGUGGAAGGAUAUUGCUUUUGUUCAGAAGUCAAAUGUGGAGAGUUAUAUACAAUGAAUUACAGAUUUCCUUGGUCCGCAUGAAAGGUUCAAGGAAUGGGGAUUUCAUAAAGGUUUGGGCAACACUACUCUGGUUUUGGAAAAAGUGGUAUAUAUUCUUGAUCAAGUAAGGGCCUUAGAGGAAGAGAUACUCCAUAAGAUUGAGCUGCAAGGCUUGGUGUUAUUUUGUCUUUUAAGCAGCCACUCGAGAAAAGAUAAAUGCUAAAGUUGUUGGUGUUCUUUGGAUCGAACCUCAAGGAAGAGCAAGAAGAAGGAAAAGGAACCUAUGGAAAAGCCUCCGAGCAAGUCACAAAUUAAGAAAAGGCCUUCUAUGUGGUUCAUAGUGUAUGGGCAGCAGUAGAAGCUUAUCCAGCCCCUUCUAUUGUUCUACAUCACAUUCACAUGAUGUACUUCAUGUUUUUGACGAUUUUAGGGAGGCUUAUGCUUGGCUGAUUCAUAAUAUAGAAAAAAAAUGAUAAAGUAAGUUCUAUAGGAUUUCAUUAUUUCUUUGUUGAAAUGGAUUUGUGGUGUCUUGUGUACAACUUUUUUAUUGAUGUUGCCAACUUUGAUUAUCUUUGCCUUUUUCUCUCACCAAGUGCAGAAUUUAGGCUAAUUACUGAUAUUCUUUCUGAAAAAUAUUGUUGGAACUUGGAAUUAAUGGUGAUAGUUAUCUUGCAUUA